Molecule: ribosomal RNA, 468 nt
Filed under: uncultured bacterium
Lineage: Bacteria
Description: partial 16S ribosomal RNA
Rfam family: Bacterial small subunit ribosomal RNA
Source: RNAcentral
GACGAACGCUGGCGGCGUGCUUAACACAUGCAAGUCGAACGGAAAGGCCCUGCUUGUGUGGGGUGCUCGAUUGGCGAACGGGUGAGUAACACGUGAGUAACCUGCUCUUGACUUUGGGAUAACUUCAGGAAACUGGGGCUAAUACCGGAUAGGAUCUCCUGCUGCAUGGUGGGGGGUGGAAAUUCUCGGCGGUUGGGGAUGGACGCGCGGCUUACCGGCUUGCUGGUGGGGUAGUGGCUUACCAAGUCUGGGACGGGUAGGCGGCCUGAGAGGGUGACCGGGGACAUUGCGACUGAGGUACGGAGCAGACUGCUAUGGGAGGCAGCAGUGGGGAAUAUGGCACAAUGGGAGGAAGCCGGAUGAAGCAACGCCGCGGGCGGGAUGACGGCCUGCGGGUUGUAAACCGCAUUAGCCUGUGACGCAGCGUGAGUGACGGUAAUGGGUAAAGAAGCACCGGCUAACUACGUG